RNAcentral lists this unclassified non-coding RNA (205 nucleotides) under plant metagenome. Its description in RNAcentral is "partial contains small subunit ribosomal RNA, internal transcribed spacer 1, and 5.8S ribosomal RNA". The record is from RNAcentral.
GUAGGUGAACCUGCGGAAGGAUCAUUACUAGAGCAAAGGAUAGACAGCGCCCGCGGAGCUCGCUCCCGGGGCUACCCUACUCCCGUAGGGUUUAGAGUCGUCGGGCCUCUCGGAGAAGCUCGGUCCUGAAUUCCACCCUUGAAUAAACUACUUUUGUUGCUUUGGCAGGCCGCUUCGGCUACCGGCUUCGGCUGGUAAGUGCCUG